This 444-nucleotide ribosomal RNA is filed under the name uncultured bacterium. Its description in RNAcentral is "bacterial SSU rRNA". It matches the Rfam family "Bacterial small subunit ribosomal RNA", at positions 28 to 467 of the family's 1533-position model. The record is from RNAcentral.
GAUGAACGCUAGCGGCAGGCUUAACACAUGCAAGUCGAGGGGUAUUGGGUUUUCGGACCAAGAGACCGGCGCACGGGUGCGUAACGCGUAUGCAAUCUACCUUUUGCAGAGGGAUAGCCCAGAGAAAUUUGGAUUAAUACCUCAUAGUAUAGUACUUUGGCAGUCAAGGAACUAUUAAAGUCACAACGGCAAAGAUGAGCAUGCGUCCAUUAGCUAGUUGGUAAGGUAACGGCUUACCAAGGCUACGAGUGGGUAGGGUUCUGAGAGGGACGAUCCCCCGACACUGGUACUGAGACACGGACCAGACUCCUACGGAGGCAGCAGUGAGGAAUAUUGGACAAUGGGCGCAAGCCUGAUCCAGCCAUGCCGCGUGCAAGGAUGUAACGGUCCCUAAUGGAUUGUAAACUGCUUUUAUACAGGAAGAAACACUCCGACGUGUCGGAG